This is a non-coding RNA of Nothobranchius furzeri (turquoise killifish), 10773 nucleotides long. The record is from RefSeq and is a predicted model, not a curated record. NCBI's taxonomy places the organism in Eukaryota, Metazoa, Chordata, Actinopteri, Cyprinodontiformes, Nothobranchiidae.
UUCAACUUAGGCUCUGGCUUCACCUAGCAACGCAAGUCAUUCACCCAAGAAUGGCGCCAGGGGUGUGUGGUUGAAUGGGAGGUCACGUGUCGGACAAAGACCGAUUUCAGGGUUUUGUCAUAAAAGAGUCAGUUGUCACCCCCUCCCCACCAGAGUCUUACUCCACCCACAUUUCCUGUUUGAAAAUUGCACCACAAGGAGGUGUUGCCUGCUGAACUGAGAGAGCGGUUCUGCAACAGUGUGACGAAAGACUGCUAAAGCCCUCCCCAUCCCCACCCUGGCUGGCUCUUCUUGGAGACUCUUGUGGCUAGGGGUGUAACAAAUCAUCUUUGAUCCGUACGGAUCUCUCUCCACGGAUCGGUCAUGUGGAGGAUGGAGGCGCUAUCUGUUCCAUCCAAAGGAGAAAUGCACAGCUGUGGUCAUGGCGAAGGAGGAGAGGAGCUUCAGAAACCACCUGCAUCAUUUAAGUUCACGUAUGAGAGCAUUUAGACUCCCGUGUAAAUUACAAUGAUACAAAUGGCAAAAAUUGACGCACGCACGUGCCUCCCUUCUGACAGCGCAGCUCAUACCUCCAAUCUCUGUGAAAGGAGGGAAUGGGUGGUACGUCAUGUGAAACAUAAACAAGGUGGGAACUGUAAAUAUUGUUGGGGACAAAUCUGUAAAAGAGCACAAAAACUAAAUAAACGGCGCAUCAGAAAGGUGAUGAAAUAAGUGGAAGCUGGACACAAAGGGAGAGUGUGUUUAUAGGGCAAGCCGUUUUAACAUUUAAUCAGCAAUCGGACCUCUCUGUAAGUUCUGCUUUUAUAACUACAAUGCUCACAAGAAUUAAAGGAACACUUUUUUUAUUGGGCCUGGCAUGAAAUCAAUUAAACAUGUCUGAUAAUUUCCUGGUUGAUUAAGCAGCUGAGGGCAUUGUUGAUCACUUUCAGCUGUAUUGGUUUUCAUGGACUUAACGACAGGUGCACUAAAAUGGCAACAAUUACAAAACCCUCAAAACAGGACUGGUUUAACAUGUAGAGGUCAUUUCAAGUUUCUCCCUCUUGAACUUUUUCUGCUGGUUUUCCACUCGUGCUAGUUUUAGCUCUCUACUGGCAGUAUGAGGCAAUUCCUUAACCCUACAGAAGUUGCACAGGCUGUCCAACUUCUCCAGGAUGGCACAUCCACACUUAAUGCAGCAAGAAGGUUUAACGUGUCUCCCAGCACAAUCUCCAGAACAUAGAGGAGAUUUCAGGAGUCUGGCGGUUAUUCUCGGAGAGCUGGACAGGGCAGUAGAAGGUCCACAACCCACCAGCAGGACCGAUACCUGCUCCUUUGUGCAAGGUCGAACAGGCUGAGCACUACUCGUGCCCUACAGAAUGACCUCCAGAGGGCCACUGGUGUGAAUGUCUCUACCCAGACAAUCAGGAACAGACUUCAUGAAGAUGGCCUGAGGGCCCAGCACCCUGUAGUGGGCCCUGUGCUCACUGCCCAGCACCGUAGAGCUCGACUGGCAUUUGCUCAAGAACACCAGAAUUGGCAAGUCCGCCACUGGUGCCCUGUACUUUUACAGAUGAUAGCGGUUUCACCCUGAGCACCUGUGAUAGACGUGAAAGGGUCUGGAGAAGACAAGGAGAACGUUAUGCUGCCUGCAACGUCGUUCAUCACGACAGGUUUGGUGGUGGGUCAGUGAUGGUCUGGGGAGGCAUAUCCAUGGAGGGACGCACAGACCUCUACUGCCUAGGAAAUGGUGCUCUGACUGCCAUAAGGUAUCGAGAUGAAAUCUUUGUACCCGUUGUCAGACCCUACGCUGAUGCAGUAGGUCCUGGUUUUCUCCUAAUUCACGACAAUGCCCGGCCUCAUGUGGCAAGAGUAUGCAGGCAGUACCUGGAAGAUGAAGGAAUUGAAACAAUUGAAUGGCCUUCACGAUCCCCUGACUUAAACCCAGUAGAACAUCUGUGGGACAUUAUGUUUUGGUCCAUUAGGCGGUGCCAGGUUGCUCCUCAGACUGUACAAGAGCUCAGGGAUGCCCUCACACAGAUCUGGGAGGAAAUGCCACAAGACACCAUCUGUUGUCUCAUUAGGAGCAUGCCCCGACGUUGUCAAGCAUGCACACAAGCUCGUGGGGGCCACACAAGAUACUGAAAAGCAAUUUGAGUUGCAGAAAUUAAGUUUUUGAAAUAAUGGACUGGCCUGCCACAUCUUCAUUUCACUCCGAUUUUAGGGUGUCUACACAGUUGAGCCCUCUGUAGGCUGAUAACUUUUAUUUCCAUUAAAAGACUUGGCAUCCUUUUGUUCCUAAGACAUUGCCCUGUCGUUAUUUGUAUAGAUAUCCAACUUCAUAUUGAGAUCUGAUCUAUCUAAUGUGUUUCUUUAAAGUGUUCCUUUAAUUUUUGUGAGCAGUGUAGUUGCAAAUCGAGCAGAAAAUGAGUGCACCCCGUCUGCAUGGCCGAAGAAUGCUGGAGAUAGACACCCGCCUUCCACAACCCUGCAUGGAUAUGCGGGUACAGAGGAUGGAUGGCUAUAAAAUUAACAUAAUAUAAAUGUAAACAGUCACAGGUUGAGGAAUCUGGGUUAACUAGCUUAAUGUAAAGGUGCUGUAGUGCACUAAUUAUCCAGCAGAACUACUGUUAGUGCAGCCUCCUAGCAGCAACAUUCAGUUCAGUGAUGGCUUUUACAUAAAAGCUGUUUAACGGCCUGGUGGUGUGUUUUUGUUGCCUUGUAUCAUUUACCAGACAGAAGAAGUCUGAAGAGAUGGUUAACAAGGUGGGUUGAGUCCUUUAGAGUGUGGUUUUUUGAAGGCAGCGAGUGGUGAAGAUGUCAUCAGGGCAGGCAGGUGUGUGCUUGUUAUGUUCUCUGCAGUUUUGAUUAUUCUCUGCAGGGCCUUCCUGUCAGCUGCAGAGUUGCUGCUGUACCACACCAGAAUGUUGUUGGUCAGAACGCUCUCUACAGAGCAGUGACAAAACCACACCAGCAGUUUUUGUGGCAGUUUGAUCUUCCCGAGAGCCCUCAGGAUUCAUAAUCAUUGUUGUGCCUUCUAUAUCAGACAUUUGGUGUUGUGUGUCCAUGUGAGGUCCUCUGUUAUGUUUGUGCCCAGGAACACCCUCUCCACCUGUUCCCCAUUUACUGUGAGUGACUGAUGCUCCACCAAUGAUGAUUUCUUUGGUUUUGUUGGUGUUCAGAGUCAGGUUGUUAGCUGUCCACCAGUCCACCAGCUGCUGCACUUCUGUCCUGUACGCUGACUCAUUUCCCUGGCUCAUUGGGCCCACCAUGGUGGUAUUAUCAGCAAAUUUAAUGAUAGUGUUGGUGUUGUGGGCAGGUUAGGGUUAGCCUUGAUGUGUUGCAGCACUCUCUCCAUGCUCUUCAUACUGGGAGGUUUUUAGUCAUGUGUUCGAGCAAGAAUUUAAGAGAUUACGCAUUGUUCAUUUACCAAAAAUUAGGAGGAGGGGUAAUGUUGAAUACUACAAAGGCAAGUUAGAAAUAACUGGAAUUAGUCUAAAUGUUUCACUAAACAUUUCAACUUGAGUUCAUAUUUAUUGCAACCAAAAGUUAAGACCGAGUGAGACCUCUUCCUGUUGUUCAUCUCUCUGAUGUAAACGUUUUCUCUCAACGUUAGUUUCGCCGCGCAUGCGCACAAUAAGCAGUCGGGAGUUGAAUGGGUGAAAAAUUAAACAGUCUCAAGAAACCAAUGCCGUGUUUCAUAGAAGUGCGUCAUAUGUUUAAUGAUAAUUGACUCCAGGUCAGAUUGUGUUUAGUUUGUUGACGUAAAGCGUCGUUCCCCCUGAAGCGAAUUGGUCCAAUCAGAAACACGCAUCGGGGUUGAGAGAGUUCAUCUUCUCAACCGUGCUGGUCAGCACAUCAUAAGGUUUCCUCACUAAUUUCAUCCAGACACAGAAUACAGAGGAAAUACAGAUAAUAAGUUCAAAGCAUUUAAAAUGUUCUUUUUUAAACCCACGAUACAGCUAUUUUAAAGCAGCGUUGAAAGGAUGGAGAUGAGGAUAAAAUUCACUCUUCUGUGCGAUUGCAUCGACUAAAUCUGAGUCUGUGUGUGUUUUGCAGAUAAAGGAGUCGUGAAACGAUGGUCACGUUGUUUCUGGCGUAUCAGGUGCGUUCAGAUGUGACGCAAACGUGCAGAUUUGAUUCAAGUACUGGUUCAAUGGUGCGGGGAAAUCAUCAAACACUCCACGCUGCCUUAAGCAUAGGUUGCCAGAUCUGUCCAUCACUUCCGGCGUAAAAUGUCGGGGAUUUUUAAAUCAACGCACGGGCAAAACACAAUCAGAUUUUGAAUCCUGGUAUAAAGUGGAAACACACGGGUUAUAGAUUAAUGAGGGUGAUAACCAGGAUUGAAGGUCUGAAUAAAAUAGUCAGUCAGUCAGUCAGUCAGUCAGUCACUCUCUCUCUCUCUCUCUCUCUCUCUCUCUCUCUCUCUCUCUCUCUCUCUCUCUCUCUCUCUAUGUAUAUAUAUCGUGUGUGUGUACAUUCUAAGUUUGUCAGACAUCUAACAAAAGUCUGUUUUCCAUUGUAGACUAGCAGUACAGUACAAGAGGAUUUAACUAUCUACCAUAAUUAAAGCACACCAUGCAGAUGUUCUUUUAUAUACGGUUAAUUAUUUUUGCGUUUUAACACUACAUGUAAGCAUGAUUAGACCUCUGCCAUGUUUUACUGUUAAGUUUGGUUUACUCUGUUAACAAAAAUGUCAAAUGACAAAAACCUGAUAUUUUCUGCUUUAAGGAAAGCUUUUGUAAAUGUUUUUCAUGUCACAACCCUUUCCUGCAGUAAUAUUUUCCUUCUUCGUUUCCUCACUUAGCUCUAAACGAUUAGAAGAUGUUUGAAGCCAUCAGAUCAGUCCACAUGAUCUCUGAAACCUACUAGUUUUUCUAGAAUGUGGAAAAAAAUGGCCAAACCCCUGAUGUUUCAUCCUGGAGGCAUCAUUACAAUUUGAUAAAGGCUUUUCAUUAAUACUAAAACAUGACUUUCGAGAUGUUUGACAGCUACCUGCAGAGGAGAAGGAUUCAUCACAAUAUUUAGGUUUUUAUGUGAUUCAUAAAUCCUAAAAUCUUUCAAAAAGUUAUUUUAUGCUUUCAUUUCCUCACAUUUGCUGUUCAGUUAAAUAAAUAUAUUACAUUUUCAUCAUUUUUUUAAUGUGCAUAAUCCUUUUAAAGGUCCUAUCACCUAUUUCAGCAUUUGCACACUUUGCACAAACUAGCACAAGUUUAUAUGAAUACAUAUUUUUAAAUGGUGGUUGGUUUGCGUUGUAUUAUCUUCUUAAGACGAUGUUUUUGAGCAAUGGCGGUUUUAAACGGGGGCCCACAGGGGCCUGGGCCCCUGUAGAACUGGCCCUGGCCCCUGUUAUGGCCCCUGUGCUGAAGAGAUCUGAUUUUUUUUCCCCGCGCUGCCUCGGAGACGGAAGCUAAUGCGCUGCAGCGUUUCACACGGAGCCUUUAAAGCGCAGCACACACUGUGGACAGAACUGUUUACGUGGUGGAUUUUUGAAUAAAAGAUUAAAAAUAGUUUUAAUAGGACCCGAAGAAGUUCUUGAGGACGCCAAACUGAAAAGACGCUAAGAGACGAAGGUAAGCAAUACAGUUUAUUUUCCUGACAUCAAUGUUUUGAUCGUAGUCGCGCGUUUCUGUCAUUUACUUUUAAGUUCCUAACUGAGUCUAUCCACAGUUAAUACUGAUUUAUUUUUCCUUUGUAACAUUAACUGUAAAAUAAAAUGAAGUUGCUGCACUUUAAGCCUUAGACAUGUUGAGAUUGGAUCACAGUAUUCAUUUAUCUAUGACUUUCUCGCAGCACUGACUGGAAGCAUCAGCGGCCAUGAAAAGAAAAAGGGACAUUUUGUCCUUUUUUACUGCUGUUAGUAAAGAACAGCGUAGACAGAGAGAGGAUGAAAGUCACGAGGGAGCUGAGAAGCAGGAUGAAAGAGAGAAGGAAGAGUUGGUUGGAGAGGAACCAGAGAGGUCAGAGGCUGUCCACCCUGAGAGUGAGGAGGAGGAAGAUGUAGGCUGUGAGGGAGAGAGUGAGGAGCUAAAAGAGGGACAUCUUCUGUCAUGUGCACCGUGUACACUACCGUCAGGUUUGUGGGUGUUGAACAAACCCCUCUGUGAUUGCAGCUCAUAUUGUGUGUAAAAUGCAUUUGAGGCAUGCUGACUCUGGACCAAAAUUUCUGUUGUUUAUAUUUAAUAAGUAGAUGAAAUAAGACUCUGAAUUAACUAAUCAUGACUUUUAUCCUCAUGCUAACAUUUAUUUUCUUUCAGAUAUCAGCAAGUGCAAGGAUGACCCACCUACUCAGCAUCAUUUGAGGACAUUUCCAGUGACAUUAAUAGGAGACAGAAGACGCAGCUUUCAGCCAAGCUGGAACUGGAAAAAAGCAACUGAGAGAGGAGGGGUUUUCAGUACAUGCAAAGUCUGAAAGGCAUAAGGAUUCAAUGACUACGUUUACAUGCAGCCAAUAUCCGGGUUAUGAUCGGGUUAAGGUCGGUAUUCGGGUUUCUGAGUUCAUCAGGAUAACCCGUUUACAAGCAUAAAUAGAAAAAGUUACCCCUAAUUUGCAUAACCCGAUUUAAAUGCGGACGUUGGGGUAGCGUCAGGACGUAUGGACUACGUCCAGACGCAAUAUGCGUCAUUUCCGGUUCUUCUUGUUCUGGUAUCCGUGAAAACAACAACAUGUUUCCCAGUUCGGAAGAGAUAGCGACCGCAUUUGUUUGCGCUUUAGUUUCCUCGUCACUCCAAAAGUGUGGAGCUGUGCUGCGACUCGCCAUGUUGCUCCCAACUUGUUGUUUACUUCCGGUGUUCUGGCGCAUACAAGACGUCUCGCUACUCAAAAGACCAGGAUUCCUUGCGAACAGAGCAAGCGCAGAACACACGCUUUGAUGGGGAUAUCCUGAUAUGCGUUUACACGACCAAACAUUCGGGUUAGAAAAGGGUUACCCCAGGUGUAGUAACCGUGUUUUUAAAAACCCGGUUAUGAGCAUAUCCGGGUUUUUGGCGGUGUUUACACGGACCUGCGGAACCGGGUUAUUGUGAAUAUUCUGGUUUUAAAAGGGUUAUUGGCUGCAUGUAAAUGCACUCAAUGAUAGCGUGGAGGGACUACCAGAGGGCUGUGAAAGCUAAUACAACAUUGGCUAAUAUACUCGACAAGGAACACAGUAAAAAGGUUAAAGAAAAUCGUGAGUAUAUCAAAACAAUUGGUGAAGUGAUUUUGCUUAUGUGUGUGUGUGUGUGUGUGUGUUGACUACCAAAGGCAAAUUGUAUUGCGCAGAUAUUUGUUUUGUUUGAAUGUUUAUUUUUCAUAUGUACAGUUCAUUUAAUCUUCAAAUAAAGUCACAAACUAUAAUAACUGACUAGAAUUGUUUUUUUACUCAAGUCUCAUGUUGCAGUGAAGCAUUCAGAAUUGUUAUCUGAGUACCAUAAAGACAUGCCAGUUUUACUUUCACAAGUAAACCAUUACUGCAUUCGCCGAAAUAGUUUACUUGUUCAUUGUCUUUUAUUAUGAAUUUUUUUUCUUGCGCCCCCAUGAAAAAAUACUGGCCCCACUGUGGCCCCCCUGGAAAAUUUGGUCUAGAACCGCCCCUGUUUUUGAGUUUGUGUCUCAUCGUAUUUAAAUGCUUGGACAGUUUUCAGAUACUUUUUAUCAUUUCUAAAUGUGACUUAGCUCGGUUUCUCCAGAACUUUGUGUUUGACUCAUGACGAGAGCUCUUUGGUGUUUAUCAUAUUACAUUACUGCAAUUAGCACAAAAAGGAUUUUCCUCCAAAUUCUUCAGAUUUCCUUGAAAAUAUCAGAUGUUUGAAAUUGGCCCCAGUUGGGACCCAUUUCUAGUCAGUAUAGUAGAUCGACAUUUGGCUGCGUAGAGUAUGUGGACGGGUGUCAAUCAGGUUCACAAUCCUGGACACUGCAAUUUUUCCUGGCAAAACUAUUCAAGGUGUCAGACCGCACAGUGAUCGUGUGAACAGAUGUUUUCAAGUCCAGCCACAAAUUUUCAUUCAGAAUGAAUUUUGGUUUGACUCACUCAGAAUAUGCACGUCAUAAUUUCAGACUGUUUUUGUGUAAUCUUCCAACCUCAUGUUCUCUUGUGGAUUUUCUAUAUUUGCUGUGUCAUCUUUUACAAGCCUUCCAGGGCCUGCUGCGGAGAAACGCCCACCACCGUGCUUCACAGUGAGGAGGGUGUGUUUACGGCGAUGUCUCCCAAACAUAGGAUCUCGUCUGAUGGGCAAAAGCCCAAUUUUGGUCUCAUCGGAUGAAAGAACAUCCUUCCACUUAACCAUGGAGUCUCCAACAAACCAUUUAGAAAACUGUAGCUGAGUUUUCUUCAGCAGAACUUUUCUCGUUGUUACUACCACACCACACCACAAAACACCAUACCAUACCACACCACAAUCCACCACACCACACCACAAAACACCAUACCAUACCAUACCACACCACAAUACACCACACCACACCACCAAACACCAUACCAUACCAUACCACACCACACCACAAUACACCAUACCAUACCACACCACAAUACACCACACCACACCAUACCAUACCACUCCACACCACAAUACACCAUACCAUACCACAAUACACCACACCACACCAUACCAUACCACACAAUACAUCACACCACACCAUACCAUACCAUACAUACCACACAAUACAUCACACCACACCAUACCAUACCACACAAUACAUCACACCACACCAUACCACACCAUACCAUACCAUACAUACCACACAAUACAUCACACCACACCAUACCAUACCACACCACAAUACACCACACCAUACCAUACCAUACCACACAAACUUACAAAGCACAUUUAAAAACUGCCUGAUAACUGAUCAAAGUAUUGAACAUAAAAACAGAAUACAACAAAGUUAAAAGAUGGGGCAAAAUACAAGGCAGCACAGUAAAAUCAACUAUAAAAUGCAAGGAAAGAAUAAUGGACUUUAAGAAGUUACUUAAAAUGAAGUAAAAGGGGGGCCAGCCUCACAUUUACAGAAAGCUCAUUCCAGAGUUUUGAGGCAGCAAAAGAAAAUGCCUUCUCCCCAUGAGAUUCAAAGCGUAUCCUGAGUUUCAACAAAAGCAGGUGGUCAGCUUACCUUGGAGAUCGCGAUGGCAUAUAAGGAAUGGUUAGAUCAGAAAGGUAGGAGGGAGCCCUGGUAAUAAAGAAUGUUUUAGUCAGACUAAAAUUUUGAAUUGAACUUAAAAGAGAACCGGGAACCAAUGUACAGUAUAUCAGCCAGAAUAGUUGUGCUGUGUUUAUGACGGUCUGUGUUAGUCAAAAACCAUUCUGCAGCAUUCUGCACCUUCUGAAGGUGAUCCAAGUGUGGCAAGGUGGAGAAGUGAGGGCUUGGGCGAGAUUUGAUCCCCAGGCUCCUGGGUGAGUCACACACGUUAGUCAGUAGGCCAAAGGGAUAUCCCCGUGGCCAAGUAGCCAGGGAGCAUCAUCAAUCGGGAUACAGUGACAGGAUGGUCACCUAGUCACACCUUCCCCUCUCUGUCCACAAGCAUGUCCUCGUGCUCCCACACAGGGUGCCACAAAUUCCAAAUCCAUGGACCUACUUCAGAGUACUACAUGGAUCCUGCCAACAACGCCAAAUGUCACUCGCACUAACCAGUCAGCCGAAGGGAUAUCCCUUUGGCUGACUGAUGACACCUUUAAAGGGUCAAGGAUGCAGUCCAGUCUGGAAUUAAUAAAUGCAUGGUUGCAGUUCUAAGUGAGGCCUCAUGAGUGUGUUUCAAAUAAGUUUCAUUAGCAUAGAUGUGAUAGUUAAAAGCUUUGAUUGGUAAAAAAGACGGGCAACAGUUGUAUUUCCAAGCUCCAGAGUAGUCAUAGGUGCUCUGGUGGCCUCUAACCAUCUCCUUCUUGCAGAGCCACUCAGUUCUUGAGGACAAUCUGAUCUAAGCACAUAUGUACCAGGGGAAGUUCAGUGCCUCGAAAAUCAUUUUGUAUCUUCCUGAUUUCAACUUUUCAAUAACCUUUCCUCAAGUAUUUGGCAUGGAGGAAGGAAUUGUUUGGGGUUUUGGGGGGUUCUGGUGAGCGCGUUUACUUUGGGCACAUUGUUACAUCAGAUGGACUGGCAUCGGGCAGAGGCUCUAUUGGGCUUUCAGCGGGCCGUUGGGAGUAUGACAGGCUGAGCCCUGGCGUGUGUUGAAGCAGCUGGGGCUGAAACAUACCUUAUGGGUGUCUGGCAUUCCAGAUUAAUGGAGGAGGUGGUGAAUAUUUAUGCAGUCGCAUAUUUUAUGUUAUUUAUUAUUUAAUAUAACAUUUUUACUUGGACAUUAAACAUUGUUUUGAUUUAAAAAAUGGUUUUGUUCAAAAAAGUCAAAUUAUGCUGAUUGAUUUUUAAAAGCAACAAAAAAAGUGUAAAAGAGUACUUUUUAUAUGACCUGGAACCAAAUGGCUUGUUUUUGGUUUUGAGCCUGUUUGAAACCGUAAAUUUAACGCUGUCAAAAGGUUAAAUUGACAAGAUCACAGCAGAAUUAAAUCAGUUUUAUUUGGCAUUUCUGCACAGACAGGCUGGUAGGCUGGCUGAGAAAAGUAUGAGUUCUGCAGCAGUAAAAUGGUUUUCAAAUUAAAACCCAGUAAACUGAUCAGCAGAGAAAAAUCACACCGGAGCCUUUUCCCGGACAAAAUAAAUUACCUCUACAGCGGCAAAAGAAGCAAACAUUAGCAGUCAUCACAUGACACUAACUGUAUACAUGUAUGUAUAUACUUAUAUUUAGUAUGUGAAUAUUUACAAACCAGAAAAUACAUAUAAAAAAAACUGUGCACAGAAGACACAACAAAUGGAGGAAUUCACUAAAA